CCAGACUCCUACGGGAGGCAGCAGUGGGGAAUAUUGCGCAAUGGGCGAAAGCCUGACGCAGCGACGCCGCGUGAGGGAUGAAGGUCUUCGGAUCGUAAACCUCUGUCAGGAGGGAAGAAGUGGUUAUAUGCGAAUAGUGUAUGACUUUGACGGUACCUCCAAAGGAAGCACCGGCUAACUCCGUGCCAGCAGCCGCGGUAAUACGGAGGGUGCGAGCGUUAAUCGGAAUCACUGGGCGUAAAGCGCGCGUAGGCGGCUUUUCAAGUCAGGGGUGAAAUCCCACGGCCCAACCGUGGAACUGCCUUUGAAACUGUAGAGCUUGAGUGUCGGAGAGGGUGGCGGAAUUCCAGGUGUAGGAGUGAAAUCCGUAGAUAUCUGGAGGAACACCGGUGGCGAAGGCGGCCACCUGGACGACAACUGACGCUGAGGUGCGAAAGCGUGGGUAGCAAACAGGAUUAGAUACCCGCGUA
RNAcentral lists this ribosomal RNA (470 nucleotides) under uncultured bacterium. RNAcentral describes it as "bacterial SSU rRNA". It matches the Rfam family "Bacterial small subunit ribosomal RNA", at positions 331 to 792 of the family's 1533-position model. The record is from RNAcentral.